RNAcentral lists this non-coding RNA (91 nucleotides) under bovine gut metagenome. RNAcentral describes it as "THF riboswitch". It matches the Rfam family "THF (Tetrahydrofolate) riboswitch aptamer". From Rfam's summary of the family: THF riboswitch presents a pseudoknot that joins P1-P2 and the loop of P3 and two THF binding. The record is from RNAcentral.
AGAGUAAAUAUUGUGCGUCAAGUGUCAUGAGAUGGGAUGUUGCUCAUGAACGAAGGCAUUUCAGGAUGCCGCGGUUCAAUAUUGCAUCCGC